This 497-nucleotide ribosomal RNA is filed under the name uncultured bacterium. RNAcentral describes it as "partial 16S ribosomal RNA". It matches the Rfam family "Bacterial small subunit ribosomal RNA", at positions 28 to 507 of the family's 1533-position model. The record is from RNAcentral.
GAUGAACGCUGGCGGCGUGCCUAAUACAUGCAAGUCGAGCGAACAGACGAGGAGCUUGCUCCUUUGACGUUAGCGGCGGACGGGUGAGUAACACGUGGGUAACCUACCUAUAAGACUGGGAUAACUUCGGGAAACCGGAGCUAAUACCGGAUAAUAUUUCGAACCGCAUGGUUCGAUAGUGAAAGAUGGCUUUGCUAUCACUUAUAGAUGGACCUGCGCCGUAUUAGCUAGUUGGUAAGGUAACGGCUUACCAAGGCAACGAUACGUAGCCGACCUGAGAGGGUGAUCGGCCACACUGGAACUGAGACACGGUCCAGACUACUACGGGAGGCAGCAGUAGGGAAUCUUCCGCAAUGGGCGAAAGCCUGACGGAGCAACGCCGCGUGAGUGAUGAAGGUCUUCGGAUCGUAAAACUCUGUUAUUAGGGAAGAACAAACGUGUAAGUAACUGUGCACGUCUUGACGGUACCUAAUCAGAAAGCCACGGCUAACUACGUG